This is a long non-coding RNA of Stomoxys calcitrans (stable fly), 378 nucleotides long. RefSeq lists it as uncharacterized. The transcript is spliced from 3 exons. NCBI's taxonomy places the organism in Eukaryota, Metazoa, Arthropoda, Insecta, Diptera, Muscidae. The record is from RefSeq and is a predicted model, not a curated record.
AUUUUGGACAGGUUCAAUUUUCAAGGGAAACCUUAGAGAGGCUGUUGGCGAGGAUAUGUGUUUUUGAACUGUUGGCAUUUUGAGCCUUUCACUGCCUGAAAACCUUAUGGGGUCGUUGUCGUUCAUGGUAUCUCUCAUACGAACAUUUAUUUCACUAUGCAUGGUGUGGAAACUGUCUACUGAAGUGUGUGUGCGGCGAGUGUGUUCCUUGGUGGCUGUGGCUUAAUCUGCUUUUGCUACUUUCACUCUCGCCUUAUGUGCUUGUCGGCUGCUACUGAACGCUGUAAUGGUGGUGGUGUUCUAGCCGGGAGGCUAAUGCCUUCUUCAGUCAACCUAUUUUUAAGUGAUUGGCUACAUUGAAAAAAAUCUAAGCUGACA